This is an RNA transcript of Lotus japonicus, 3397 nucleotides long. It is a transcript of the gene named protein FAR1-RELATED SEQUENCE 5-like, with no coding region annotated. The record is from RefSeq and is a predicted model, not a curated record. Lineage: Eukaryota; Viridiplantae; Streptophyta; Magnoliopsida; Fabales; Fabaceae. The transcript has 3 exons.
UACUAUGGGCCACUUUUUUGUGGUCCAUGGUUACACCACCUGCUUUUGACCUGCUAGUGCAGGUCCAGCAGGUAUUUUUAAAUUUUUAAAAAAUAAAAUACUUAAUAUAUUAUAUAUAAUUUGUUAUAUAGUUAGUAAUUUUCUUAAUGUUGAUUUGCACUAACUGAGUUAGGUAAUUGUAUCAGUAAAAAAAAAAAUUUGGAACAUAAUUAAUACAACUUAAACAAACUACUAAUUGGGUCAUGUAAUUAAUACAUACAACUUAAACAAACUAACACAAACUACAAUAAAUUUUCCCCUCCUUUCUAACUGAAAAUAACCCAAAUUCAUAUCCCGAUUCACCCCGAUUCAUUCACCCCAACUCCAGGACGGCUAGGGUUCAUGAGGUUUGAUUCUCAUCUUCAAAUCCUAUCCAGAUCUGACGCCUCCCUUCUCGGCAGCUUUCUUCUUUCUUCCUCAUCAACAGGUUCGUUGUCGCUUUUACCUUCUCAUUACUGCAUCUUCCUUCUGUGAAUGAUGUUGUAGAGGUUUUAUUGCUUUCACCUUCUAAUGAAUGUGUUCGAUCUGGGUUUCCUAUGCAGUAGUGUGGAACGGGUUGGUUAGGCGGUGGGAACGGGUUCGCUAGUGGGAACGGGUGGGUUCGGUGGCUGUUGAACAUGUCUUCCCAUACCCAGGAGUCUAGGUCGAACACUCUGAUAGAUGAUGCAGCACUUGGUUCCUCUGCGCUUCAGGGUCCUCAGCAUGUUGUUGGAGUAAUGGUUGAAGGAGGGGAAGGUGAUGUACAUGUCUUUGUUGAUGAGGAACAAGGGACUGAUGACGUUCAGGAAAGUGGAGAAGAAGGAGAAGAGCAAGGGACUGACUAUGAUGAAGAAGAUGAAAAAGAGUCUGAAAAUGGGGUUGAAGAACAAAAUGUUGAUGUGGAGCCGCCAACUGAGAUUGCUAUCAAUGGUUUAGAAGAUUUGGGGAUGGUAAAUUUCAAAGAACUAUCUGUCAAUAACAUAGUCACCUAUCACUUUCCGGAUCGUGAGGUUGCUUACUUGUUCUACAGUUGGUAUGCUCGGAUGCAUGGAUUUGCUGCGAGGAAGGCUAAGGUUCUAAAAAACAAUCACGGAGAUGUAAUCCAACAGAGAUUUGUUUGCUUCAGGGAGGGUAAAAGGAUAGAGAAAGCUGAGCCAGAGGUUGAUGCUCAUGCUGGUGAAAAGAGAAAGCGUUUUCCGAAAAAGGCCACAAGAUGUGAGUGUAAGGCUUAUUGUCAGGUCCAUGUUCAUAAGGAUAACAAGCGUUGGCAUGUUAGAUCUGUUUGUGAUGAUCAUAAUCAUGUACUUGUUGAAGAAAAUUUGAUUGGAUUGGCACCUACUCAUAGGAGAAUGAAUGAGGCCGACAUUACUCAAUUGAAUUGCUUUAGGAAGUCAGGCAUUACAACUCCACAGGCUUAUGGUGUGUUUGCCAACCAGAUGGGUGGAUAUCAAAAUGUUCCAUUUGGACCUAGACAAAUGUACAAUGAAAAAUUUAAAAAGAAGAAGGUGGAAGUAUGUGAUGCUAGAGGUGUGCUCGGUUUCUUACGUAAUUUGAAGGAAAAGGAUCCUGACUUGAUGUGGAAACACACCUUUAAUGAGGAAGGAAGGUUGGACAAGUUGUUUUGGAGUGAUGGAAUCAGCCGGGACAACUAUUUGUUGUUUGGGGAUGUGUUGGCAUUUGAUGCCACAUACAAGAAAAACAAGUACAAGCGGCCACUUGUGAUUUUCUCUGGAGCUAAUCAUCACAAUCAGACAAUUAUCUUUGCUGCAGCUUUAGUUUCUAAUGAGAAAGAGGAGACAUAUGUUUGGUUGCUUCAGAAUUUGUUAGAUGCAAUGCGGGGGAAAGAACCGGUAUCAGUGAUCACAGAUGGAGAUCCAGCAAUGAAAAAUGCGAUUAAAAGUGUGUUUCCAAAUGCGCAUCACAGGUUAUGUGCUUGGCAUCUUCUUCGGAAUGCAGUUAGCAAUGUUGCAGAACCAAAGUUUGUUCAAAUGUUUUCAAGAUGCAUGCUAUGGGAUCUUGAAAUUGUGGAGUUUGAGGACAGAUGGGCUCAAAUGGUUAUUGAAUGUGGGUGUGAAGACAAUGUUUGGGUUCAUGAUUUGUAUGAGCGGAGGAUGAUGUGGGCUGCUGCAUAUAUGCGGGGUGAAUUCUUUGUGGGCUUUCGUACAACCUCUCGGGUUGAGGGAUUACAUGCCCAAGUUGGGAAGUUUGUAGACUCAUGGAACAAUUUGACAGAUUUUAUGCACAACUUCUUUCGAUAUAUGAGUUAUCAGCGACAAAGGGAACUUGAAGCAGAUUUUGCAUCAAUGCACGGUGACCAUGUGCCGCAAACACAAUUGAAGAGGCUUGAAAAAUCAGCUUCCAACCAUUACACGAACAACAUUUUUAGGCUUGUCUCUAAGGGUCUUCACCGGUGUUUGAUGCUAAAGGUUAGUCUUUUCAAGGAGACUUCAACUUGCAUCAUUUACUUUGUUUCAAGGUUUUCUUUGUCUAGUAGGAAAUGGAAUGUGACUCUGUGCAAAACAACCAGUGAGUUCAAAUGCUCUUGUAUGAGGAUGGAAUCAUAUGGCAUUCCAUGCGAUCAUAUUCUUGCUGUUUGUAGAUAUCUAGACCUGCCUGGAAUUCCCUCAUCAUUAAUUAUGGGGAGAUGGAGCAAGUAUGCAAAAGAUGGGCUUGAGCUGCGUGGGGAACAAUUGGGUGCAUGAGACCCCAUGGAUAUGUGUAGAUUUACAGUAUUGAGGGAAAACUGCAGGCGAAUGUCUAAAGCAGCAUGUAGAGCACCGGAAACAUUCCGGGACACAAAUGAACUGGUUCUAAAGCAAGCAAGGAAGUUGGAGAAAUUGGAGAAAGGUGAUGGAGUGAAACAAACUGUGAAUAUGGUGGCCAACGAUGCUGAACAAUACUUGCGUGACCCACUCAAACCCAUCAAAAGGCGCAUUGGUGGUGCUUCUAGAGGUAGUGGACCGGGGAGGCGUACUUCCCACUGUGGUCUUUGUGGCGGAGCAGGCCAUAAUCGGAAAACAUGCCUACGGGCCACACAGUGAAGUGGGGCUGCACUAUUGGAAGGGAAUCACACACUAUCUAUCUUGGAAGGGGAACCUCGUCGGUGGAUGUUGGGUGCUCUGAGUAGCACGGUUGUUUCAGUAAUGUUAUUCGUGGAUUUGUAAUGUUCUUUUUCAUAAAUUGGUGUGGAUUUGUAAUGUUUUAUUUGAACUAUCAGUACUUUAAAUGGUCUGUUUUUAAAAUUCCUGGUACAAUAUGCUUGUUACAUUUGACAUGGUAUGUACUAAAUUGUGUAUUUCACUUGUAAUAUGUGAGAUGUGUAUUUCACUAGUAAUUUGUGGGGUUUGGAAAUGGUUUUCAAACAUUUUUAUGUGAGGAG